CACGUAGUUAGUCCGGUGCUUCUUCUGCAGGUACCGUCACUUUCGCUUCUUCCCUGCUGAAAGAGGUUUACAACCCGAAGGCCGUCAUCCCUCACGCGGCGUCGCUGCAUCAGGCUUUCGCCCAUUGUGCAAUAUUCCCCACUGCUGCCUCCCGUAGGAGUCUGGGCCGUGUCUCAGUCCCAGUGUGGCCGGUCGCCCUCUCAGGCCGGCUACCCGUCGUCGCCUUGGUGAGCCAUUACCUCACCAACAAGCUGAUAGGCCGCGAGCCCAUCCCAAACCGAAAACUUUCCAGACCAUACCCAUGCAGGUUGGUCUCGUAUCCAGUAUUAGACGCCGUUUCCAGCGCUUAUUCCAGAGUCUGGGGCAGGUUGCUCACGUGUUACUCACCCGUUCGCCACUGAUCCACUCCAGCAAGCUGGAGCUUCACCGUUCGACUUGCAUGUGUUAAGCACGCCGCCAGCGUUCUCCUGAGCCAGGAUCAAACUCU
This 487-nucleotide ribosomal RNA is filed under the name uncultured Janibacter sp. RNAcentral's name for it is "partial 16S ribosomal RNA". The record is from RNAcentral. Lineage: Bacteria; Bacillati; Actinomycetota; Actinomycetes; Micrococcales; Intrasporangiaceae.